Molecule: ribosomal RNA, 387 nt
Filed under: uncultured Bacteroidota bacterium
Lineage: Bacteria; Pseudomonadati; Bacteroidota
Description: bacterial SSU rRNA
Rfam family: Bacterial small subunit ribosomal RNA
Source: RNAcentral
UCCGCAGGCGGAAUAUUAAGUCAGUGGUGAAAGCCUACAGCUCAACUGUAGAACUGCCAUUGAAACUGUUAUUCUUGAGUAUGGAUGAAGUGGGCGGAAUAUGUCAUGUAGCGGUGAAAUGCAUAGAUAUGACAUGGAACACCAAUUGCGAAGGCAGCUCACUAAACCAUUACUGACGCUCAUGGACGAAAGCGUGGGGAGCGAACAGGAUUAGAUACCCUGGUAGUCCACGCCGUAAACGAUGAUCACUAGAUGUUGGCGAUAUAAUGUCAGCGUUCAAGAGAAAUCGAUAAGAGAUCCACCUGGGGAGUACGUUCGCAAGAAUGAAACUCAAAGGAAUUGACGGGGGCCCGCACAAGCGGAGGAGCAUGUGGUUUAAUUCGAUGA